GUGCCGGAAGCUGCCUAAGGCACACUCCAUUGCUGCACCAGCCCCAAGUGUGGAAGAGCUGCAGCCAGGCAGAAUAGAUGGGACAUGCUGAUUUUUGACAGCUGUGGUAAAACAGAGCUCCCUGAGAUGCAGAUGAGGAUCUUGUCAUAAACAGCUGUGUGCCAGGAGUGGUCUUGCAUCCCCAAUUGCAGAGAUCUGGGGACAAGCUGAUCGAUGUUGCCUUAAGGGGGUCAGUUUCUGCCAACCUGCAUGGAAGGAGCAGGGAGUUCUGCCAGCACUGGCAGCUCAGCAUGUGUUGGGUGAUUUCCUAAGAGAAGAUACAAGCCUCUGCGCAAUCUCCUCCAUGUGAGCAAGACGUACAUAGCCACAGCUCUGUGAAGGUAAGCUCUUUUCCUCUGGCUAGAGCCAAAGUGAUGUCCUCUGACUACAGCAUUUGUGCAGUAUGAGUUCAGACUUGAUGGAUAUUGGGGAAAACAAGAGGCUGACCCCAGUGUUGGUGGCUACAGUUAACUAGCAAAGGCAGAAGGGAGGAAGGAGGGCAGGAUGCUGAGGUCUCUGCAGGUGACAUUCAGUAUUCCCCAGACUGAAAUCAAUGCACUCCUCCCUCCCCUGCAGCAUCCUGUGUCAGCUCACAGCCACCACCUGUGGAGCUUUGGUGUUUUUCAACCUGCUGCUUUGCUGACUAACACCUCCGCUUUCUGCCUGGCUCAUUCAUAUUUUAGCUUGUUUCCUGAGCUUUGAGGUGGUUUCGUCUAAUUGCUUUCCCUUCCAGCAGAACACCGUUACUCAUGUCUCAGCUGUUCUCCUGCCAUUUUUCACUUAUUGUAAUGUAUGAUUAUCUUCCUCCUAAAUGUCACCAGCCACUAAUGGUGCCUUUGACUCUAAAGUUAUGCCAGGUCUGUAUCUUUGACGCUGCUGGGGAUAUUGGUUUAAUUCUGUUAUGACAGGAAGAAAGUACAGAGGUAGUACUGUUUCUGUGGAGUUUUUUCUGUUUUUUGUCAAAUCAUGAACCUGAUAACUCCAAGCAUGACUGGUUUUAUAUCCUAGAGAAAGAAUUGUCAGCUCUGAAUGUUGUUUCUUUUGAUGAUUUAUCUUGCUGAUAAAUACGUAAUGAUGUUGCCCUUCUUCCAGUAAUGGCAAAAUGGUUUUGGGUCAUGAAUAACAGAAUCUACCAAGCUUUCCCUUGUGUGCCCUUCAUGCAUGCUUCUUGGUGAAUAUUACUGCCGCAGGCUAGGCUGAAAUUACACUUUUUAUAAGUAAAUUUGAGGAAAACAGGCCUUUUGGUGCAAUGUGUUUAAAUUUAUAAAGCCAUUGGUUUUACAGUGCUGCCAGUGAUGCUGUUUUUAAAAUUAGCUCUGUAAUAUCAAAUGCAUAUUAUUGCAUGGUUUAAAAGUAGUGUGGCUUGUGACUGCCAGACUAUCACUCUUUGGACUGAUCACACAUGCUGCUCUUUCUCUCCCUCCUCUGCACAAAUAACAAUAUCGGCACACCUUGGAGAGUCCUGUGUAAUCAGGGGGCAGAAGCUACACCACUGUCCUGGUGUGCUAUCCUCACAACAGGAAGAUAUUACUAAGAGCCUGGGAAAUUUCUGACUUAGCCACUCAGCCUCAUUAACCCUGUACUGUCCCACACUGCACCCAAGAGAGGUGGCAAUCUCCACAACCCACAGGCACCAUCAGCUGAGACAAGUAUUUUCUAGAAGCUUGGGCCUGGCAAGUGCCUGUAAGUGAUCCACAAAGCAUGCAGAAGGGAGAGCUAGUCUUUCACAGAGGCUGCUCCAAACAAUGAGGAGUAGCUUCUGGAUUAAGUCAUGUGACCUUCCCCAUGCAUGUUCCAAUAAUGUACAACGAGCUCAGUUACCAGCAACUACCUGGCAAAGCAUGGUCAAGAGCUGCCUGCCCUGGCCUGAACAUUCCAAAACAACUGUUUUUCAAAGGGUGAGUCAGAGGUAUGGAGGGCUUAUCAUGGAGCUCCCUCAUCCUGCACCCUGCUGCUUUGUGCCAACUUCACUGCUGCAGUCUUCUUGGGUUAUUACAGCUCCUCGUUCUCGCUCCUACCUCCACACUGUGUUGUGUGUGCCAAAUCCCUCCACAGUGCUGCUCGUUUCCCUCUUGUCCAAGGAUACAGUGAGUGUGCAUGCGUUCCUUGAAGCCCCUUUAAAGAUAUGAUUAAGUGAGCUCAUGGACCCUCCCUCAGUGUCAACCUUGCAAUCUAAAGAGACCUGGCCCAGACACAAGUCACAGGCAUGAGAUACAACAGGGGUGAGCCCCUCACCUGUGUAGGAGCCAGAUGACCUCCCUGCCUGUGGUCUAAGGACUGGUGCUGUUGCCCUGAUCCUGGGCCAUUUUGGGAACGGAUGGAAGCUGAACACAGUGAUGUUUGACUGUCUCCAAUGUGGCACAUGCUGUACUAUGCCCUUUAACACCUUGACACUGAUGCCUCCUCACUGCACAAAUCUAAGCCCCGCUAUGACCUUUUAGAUAUGAGGUUUGUGAGUUUUUAUCAGUUCUCCCACCCUUUUCUCACGUAAGAAAGCAGAGCAGUACAGUAAUAAAUGUUGUGUGGGUGUUUGGACCUGAAUUCAUCACCUCCUCUCACCACAUCCUUCUGUUGGCACAGUAAUACUGAUACAGUGGUGACGUCAAUCUCCACUUAUUGCUGUGUAUUCCAACACACCACGGCCCUUGGUUGUGCACAAGUAGGCUUUGCUCUUACUCAGUGCUGAGGAGACCCACCUGCUCCUCAGCUCCCCAGGUGGGGUCUGCAAUUGCAGUAAUGAUAUAGCCAAGCUGGUCACGGAAGUGUUGGAGGGCUGAAAUGCACAGAACAGGGCAGGUAAUAUCCAUGUUUCCACCAAUUCUCCCUGCUGCCAGUUUGUUCCUGCUUGAUGUUGUAACUUCACUGUAAAUCUUUCUUAUAGCUGAUGUGGCCCUUGUGCCCCAGCUGUCAUUGCUCAGCCUCUGGACAGUCAGAGCACCCCUUUUUCUCCCUGUUGCUUCAGCUUUCUGAUUAGAUGGCAGUGUGCAUUGAUAAUGAUUUUUUUUUCAAGAAGAAAACUUAUUUGGGCAUAUAACUGGUGGACUGUGUCUUCCACUCUUUUUUUGCUUGGGUGCAAAAAAUUCAUUUUCUCAUGCUUGGAAACAUUUUUUUCCUUUCUUAUUUUUACUUAAACUGAGUUCUUAAUUAGUUUUGAUUUGGGGUUUGGUGGGGUUUGUUUUGUUUUUUUUUGGGGUUUUUUUUUGGUUUUGGGGGAUUUUUUUCUGGUGGAGGUUUUUUGUUUGUUUCUCUUUUUUUGUUUGUUUUUUUCCCUUCGUGUGUGUGUGUGUGUGUGUGUGUGUGUUUUGUUGUUGUUUUGGGGUUUGUUUUGUUUUGUUUUUUAAGUACAUACAUUUCCUGAAAACAGUUCAAACUGUCAGCUUAGACUGCAUCAAUGUUUGGCAGCUUAUAGCAUCAUAUUUCCAGAUCCUUAACAAAAAUAAUCUUCAUAAAUGUCUGUCUGUAUUGGUCCUAUUUCCUAUUCUCUGGUAUAUUAAACACUUGUACCAUCAUUUACAUGUGUAUAUUAUGAAUAGCUACUCAGCUUUAUUGCUGUGAUCUCAUAAGGAUAUUACAGAGUUUGCAGAUGUAGUACUUGGCAGCUGUAAAAUGCUUGACAUUUUAUAACAAGUGUCUGUGUUGCAAGGAUGCAUGAAGCUGAUUCUGAGUCCCCAUUUCACAGACCAAGAAAAUGAAAUGAGGUGAUAGAAAGGACUUUUCUAAUGCCAGACUGGGAAUAAGUUCCUGCCUCUGCUCAUUGCCUGCUGCCAUUCUUUCCUCCAGGUUAACAAUCACAUGCUGACAGCGAGAAGCAAAUAGGAAGGGUGUAACAAAUGGAGAGAUGUAGGAAAGGUGAGGGUCCCAAUAAUAGACUGUGAUUGAAGCUUGCAGGGGGCCUGACUGGAGCAUGCUUCAGAAUUAGGGCUGCUAUACAUCUCCAUUGAAGUCAUGAGGUCUUUGGCAUCAAACACCCCAAAGACGCUGCUGCAGAGCUGCAGCUUUCCCAGCUCUUCUGCCCAUCUGGCUUGUCUGUCCGUGUCUUGUCAUAACAAUCUGGAGCACAGCCAGGAGGUCAGACAGUUUCAGCAGUACUGAAACUGUCUGUGGUGCUCUUAGAGGUCACAGUCCUUUCCUACCACACUGAGGUAGGGAAAUAGAAGGAGAUAAAUGUUGGACUAAUCUGUGAGCAUUGGCAAGGGUAAGAGAUGGGACAGUGGCAUCCCAACUGAGGAAGUAUUGUCUCUUUGUUUCAGCUAUUUUAGCAGAUCCUACUGGUUUUCUUAUUUUUGCUACUGUGCUCUUCUUCAUGAAUCUUCCUUCUAGAUUACGAGGCUGUAUGCUAACCUCUCCCCACUGUGUAAUGGCAGUCUCUGGUAACUCUGUAAGACAUCUACCCAAUGAGCUACUUGGGCUCCUUGCUUUAACUUUUUCCAGUUCAGUCCUGCCUGUCCCUUCAGGUGGAUGAUACCAUUCUCUGAGCAGAGAAAGAAAAGUAGGGGAAAGAAACCACAGUCCAACAGGUAACAGCAGCAGACUUUCCUUGCAUUGGUCUGCUCAUUUAGGCAGGAAUAAGCCCAAAAGCAGGGAGCUACUGCAAUAUCAUGAAUAUGAAGCAUCAGAGGCCCUGCUAGUUGGAUUCUGAAAUAAGUGGUGGGUCUGCAGACCUCUCUGAGGGCCCAGCCUUUCCCUUCCCCUUUCCCUUUCUUUUAUCUUUCCUUUUUCUUUCACAAGUUGCAUUUCUUUGUUUUCCAUGGUGGCCAAGAGUGUGGAGCAUGACAGUCACAACACUAAGUGAUGCUGAGAUGGGUUCAUGGUGCAGCCAGUCUCAGCAUGAAGUCAGCUGAGCAGGUUUCAAAUAGCAGGAUAACAGCAAGCCUUUCUCGAAGGAAUGAAGAUUUGGAGAAGAGCCAUGGAAGAUGGGUGAGAUCCCAAGGUGGACUUAGGCAGUGGACUGUAUCUCAGUGACUAGGGACUGCACCACCAGAAGUAGUGGUAAUGAUGAGAGUUAUUACAUGGAGAAAACUUGGAGAGCUUCAACCAGAGUGGCCAAGAAAAGGUGUUUACUCAAGGCAAUGUGUGAUGCAGAAAGAUGGGCUGGAGUACGAAGGUAGAGAGUUUGCCCUGCCACUGGCAACAGGUGAGGGAGGAUGGCAGCAUGCCUGGGGCUCCUUGCUGAGCUGGAACAGUGAUUCAUGGGCAGGGUUUGUUUAGCAGGAAACAAGGGGCAGCAGCUGCAUCAUUGCUCCCACAGCAGGGUGUGACACCUGUGUCUGUGGCACCUCCAGAAUGAGUCUUGCUAGUCUCACCUGGGCACUGACACCCUGAGAGCACAUCUGUGAGCUCACAUGAGGCUGCAGGGACUUUCUGGUGGCUGCUAAAUUUGUUUUGCUUUCAUUAUUUGAGUAAACCUGGGAAAUUUUUUAACUCCACAAAUGUUCCCCAAGUCUUGAAUGCUUCAUGGGUUUCUCUCUGCUGGGUGAUUGCCUGGGUGUUUGUUGCUUGUGGUGGAUGCUGCAUAGGCACCCCAGGACCUGGAUACCUUGACCCCACCGUAUGAACACAGGCUGAGGGACAAGCAGAUUGAGACCAGCUCUGCUGACAAGGACCUGGGGGCAGUGGUGGAAUAAAAGCUGGCCAUAAGCAGGCCAUAUGUGCUGGUAGCCCAGAAGCUCCUGGGGUUCUUCCCCAGCAGUGUGGGCAGCUGAUAGAGGGAGUGGAUUCUUCCCCUCUACUCUGCUCUCUUGAGACCCUACCUGGUGUUCUGCCUUCAGGUCUGGGACCCCCCAGUGUGACAAGCAUGGGGAACUGCUGUAGUGAGUCCAGAAGAGGCCACAGAAAUGCUUCAAGGGCUGAAGCACCUCUCACCUACAGGCUGAGAGAGUUGGGCUUGUUCAGCCUGGAGAAGAGCAGGCUUUGAGGAGACCUUACUGCAACCUUUCAUUAUUUAAAGGGAGCCAGUAAGAAAGAUAAGGACAGACUUUUUAGCAGAGUCUGUUGCAACAGGACAAGGGGUGAUGGGUUUUUAAAUUAAAAGGGUAGAUCAGACUAUGUGGCAUAGCAUAUGGGCCCUUCCUGCUGUCUGUGCAUCCUUGCAGCUUGCUUUCAAUGAAAUUAUGUUGCCAGAAUAAUACACAUUGCUUCUCCAAAGUUUUGUCCCAUUUAAGAAUAGUUUGAGAAAACAGUGCUGAAGUCUGUACCAGGUAUCAACAGCCAAUGCUCUGCAGAGAGCAUAUUUUAAGUCUUUCUGUGCACAUCCAUGUGUUUCUAUAAAUAUUUAAAUGCUGUGAAAACACAGUCUUAAAUGCAUUAUAUGACUUGAGGGCUUUGUCUUGGAGCAGGGGCUGUGGGCUGAACAUUGUCAUGAGUCAUUUGUAUGUGAUGCCAUUUCCUCUGUUUUAAACAUCCUGCUGUCAUCUUCUCUGAAGACUUCCUUGUAGGUUCUCUUCACUGUACCAUCAGGGCAGCCUUUCCCUGCUGUCAGUACUGUACAUUGUUUUCUUGGAUGCUACAUGGGAGGCUGUUUUGUUGUUUUUUUUUCUUUUUUUCCUCUGGUCUGUCUUUCUGGAGUCCCUUAACUAGAUAUUUCAUGCUUAUUUAAUUACAGGUAGGCCAAAUCAAUGAGUUCUCACUAGCUUUCCUCAAUGCUAGUGACCCUCACACGGACCCACAAUGAUAUUCAGACUCCAUUUGCCUGAUUCACUGUGUAGCUAUUUAAUCUGCAGCAAUGUCACUUCUUGUGACAAGCCAUUCCCAGUUCCAAGAUACUAAUGAAGAAAAAGUGGGUUAGCAAUUAACCCAAGAGUCUUUCUUGUUGCCUGGAUAGCCCAACCUGCAGUCUCUUUGCUGCUUUCUCUGUGCAUGUGCUAGCAAGGAGCAAAGAUUUCACUGACCUUGCUUAUGGCAAGUUGGUAGGCUGUUGGUCAUACCUCCCUUAGCCCAUAUAAUAGAUACACACAGGAGAGCUGAAAUUAAUUGUCUAAACAAGGCACUCUACUUUUAGAUGUUUAAAUGAAAGCAAGAUUAAUUCCACCUCAACCUUAAUCAAGUAAAUGUCUGAGCAGAGCUCUAAAUUGGUUGUGGGAGUCUUGUUUGUGGCUGUUUUGUUUUGUUUUGUUUUGUUUUUUUCUUCCCCAGGACAUCCAGUGAGAACUACCAUGAAGAACAAACCGUGGCUCCAGAAUAUUUUCAUCUGCCUUUUAUUCCAGUACACUAUGUGUUGUGAAAGCCUCACUUGUUUUGUGGACUAUGUACAGACCCUGUCCUGUAUCCUGCGAGAUGAGUUGGGUGCUGGUUCAUACAAUCUCACUGCUACAUGGGUUCCUGAGGAAGAUCCAGAAAAUACUGUGGCUGCCUGCAGUCUCGUGCAAUUGUCAAGAAACACCAGUCACACACAGUACAUGUGCACUGUGGACAUGACUGAACUCCUGGCAGAUACCAAAGUCCAGGUGGAUGUUACAGAGAUAGCUGAUAGGCAGCACGUGCUUUCCAAAGACUUUUAUUUGUCAGACAACAUAAAACCACAGCCUCCCUUCAACCUGACCGCUUUGUUCUCAGAGGGUUACAACAUUUCUUGGGAAACCAUCUACCAGAACUCUUCCUUCUACUUUUUGAAUGAGGAGCUGGAAUAUCAGCUGCGUUACAAAAGAAGAACUGACACCUGGGAGACUCAGAAGACUAAAGCUGUUCAUGAAGACAAACGGACAUUGGUGAUCCUGCCAUGGGAACUACAGGCGAACACUGAGUACGAGUUCCAAGUGAGAGCUAGACCCCGGGAAGACAGUGGCUAUGGUGGUUUUUGGAGUGAAUGGAGUUCUCCGCUGUCAUUGAAAACCAGCCCUGCCGCAGUGACACAGACAGCAGGCAUGGAAUGGCUGCUGCUGUUUGGUAUUGUCGUGGCAAUCAUGGCCUCAGUCACAACAUUUCUGGCCAAACAGCAGAGCUUGUGGAAGAAGAUGGCUUGCAUCCCAGACCCUGCUCCCUUUUUCAAACCUCUUUACAUGGCUCAUAAUGGAGAUUUUAAGAAGUGGGUUGGUGCAUCCCAUAUGAAAAUGACCUUUGAUUUCUUUGAAUGGGGAAUAGUCCUUCCAGAAGUCCUAGAAGUUUACACCGUGCAUCCUUCCAACAGCAUCCCACAGGAAGAGCUGCAUGAGCUAAGAAAGAAUCUGCCUUGCAAGCCCUGUGUGUCUUGCCUGACUACCCCAGGUCAUGGUAGCCAGUCGCUGUGGUGUAGUGUAAACAGUAGUGGUGGGACUGAGGACCAGUCAUAUGGGCACUUGUCAAUUGAUACAGUGACUGUGGCUGAUGAAUUUACAUCUUGUAACUGCCAGUGCAGCUGCAACCGUGUGUACAGGGAACAUGACCAUACCAACAAGGAAGAUGAUAGUGCUGGAGAACCCGGUUACCCCAAGGUUAACCUUGAUGAGGAGGACAGAAAGAUAUCCAGUGACUUGCAUUUAGCUGAUCUGAGUACACAGGACAAAAUACUUGCUUCAGGUUCUGUGUCCACAGACCACCUGAGGAGCACAAGUGUCCCAGUCAACCAGCAAGGAGAAAGGGGAGUGGAAGGAGGGGUGGGGAGCAUACUAGAAGCCCUUUGCUUGCAGCCUUAUCAGUGGGAUUUGGAAAAUCCAGGUUCUCUGCCUUCUCCUGAUGGUGAAAGUGUUUCCUACAGUGAAGGCUCCUAUGACUUCUUCCCUCACAAUACAAAGCCUGGUGACAGUUAUCCUUUGAUCUGUGUAGAUUUGGACACUAUUGACAGUGGCUUUGUGGACUCAGACUGCGGAAGUCCAGUUGACUCUGAGUUUGGGCAAACCAGUCAGACCAUUUGUGGCCCCAUCUCUCUUGAGCAGGAGGGGCAAGACUUUACACGGAGCUACGUCAAGCAGUGGGUCUCCUGUCGCUCUGAGAGCCCUACCAGUGGGACACAGACAAACUAAGGACUGGAUGAGUGUGGGGCCUUUUUCAUAGUGUGCCAGGAGCAAACUGCUAGCAAGAUUCAGAAGAGAAACAAAGUUUACUUUGUGUGAGCUCUAUUGCAUAAACUGACACCUGUUAGGUCCACAGAAAUAUGCCUGUUUCUAUUCCCACUUAUCCUAUUACUGUCUCAAAUUUGUUGUGAUUGAUUGUUCCUGAGUUUUGUUGGGUUUUGGUUUUUUUUAGAAUCAUAGAUCAAACCUCCCUUGAUGUCAAAAAAAAUGUCAGAAAAAAACAACUGUACCUUGAAAACAAUCCUUUGGCUUAUAUAGAUAUGCAAAUUUUUUUCAGUAACCUUAUAAAGAGUACAGAACUUUAAAGUUAUUUCCCUGGUAUUCUCACAUGACUUAAGGGUUUGGCUGCACAUGGAACCUUAGAAUCAUAACCCAUGGCAAGCAUGUUUGCUACAUUAAAGUUCCCCUACCUUUCCAAACAACAUGUGAUGUUACUUUUCCUUCUACUAUCUUUGGCUCUUUAAACUCAGCUGUAGUAGUCUGUUAAUUACAAGAGGGCUCCAGACCGGUCCACGGGAAUCAAAACUAAUUCUUAUGAAAUCAUUGCAGAAAUGCGUGUACUAGAGACUAAGCACAACUCAGGUUUCAGAAAGAUUUUCCAGGUGGAGUCUGCAAAUGAAAAGACUUCAAAAUAUAUCUAAUUCUAAACAAACUCUUGCUACUAGGCUUUUCUAUUGAGUCAGAUGCUCUCCCUGCACUUUUCAAGUAUUUUAAUUGAGCAGCUUUUAGAAUUUUGCCAAAAUUAUUGAAACAUUGUCCUACCUGGAUAUGCCUGCCACUUCUGCCUUGGAAUUGUUCUGCUGCAGUUCACAGGUCAGUAGCACAAAUUUUGAGCAAUUUCUGCUAGCUAAUAAAGCCAAAUAUGAAAGUGCGCUGUAACCUUGAAUCCGUUUUUCUCUCUGACAUCUCCAAAUCUCUGAUUUGUUCAGGAUAAAUGUCUUAAAAAGUCACUGAAAAGUAAUACUGAAAUUGAAUGUGAAGACCUUCAUCUUAAAUAGACAUAGUGCUACUAACCCAUGGACUGCUUGGCUCCAGAAGGUCAUAUCUUGAGAGAACCCUUGUGGUGAAUGAUGCAUGUUCCAGUGUAGUAAUAAUCUAUUGUUGCUGUGACUCCAAUAAACUCCCUUCCCUCACCCCCUUCUCUUACCUGAGACUAUAGGCAACCCCACAGCUCCCUAAAUAGGAGAGAGCACUGUAGUAAAGAGAAGCUGAUUUCUUCAUAGGUGAGUGCUGGGACAGUACUGCAUUGCAUCCACAUCCUCUGGUUUGAUUGUUCAGAUCUGCCAUGGUAUUUGCUAUGUUGAUUUUGGAUCUACAUGACUUAGUUUUGUCCAUGUUGUUAUUACUCCCCCAGUACAUCCCUAGCUCAAUGGCUUCCUGGGUACUGCUCUAAGAUAUAUUAGCUUCUUUGGUUUCUUCCCUCCUUAUUUUCCAUUUUUCUUGUCAUGUGCUGUGAUAAGUCAUGGGAGGUGUUGUCUUUGUGUGCUGAUGCAUGCUCCCUGCUGCUACUGGUCCCUGACAUGCCCUCCAUAAGGCAGCAGAGAAUUGCCCCAGCUCCACUGCCCUGAAAAGCUGACUGCCCCACACUGUCCUAUGAAGGCUGCUUGCAUUGUGAACAUGUUGAUGCAAAUGUGUACUGGGCAGAAGCAUUUCUGAUGGUCUCAGCACAGAUUUCUGCAGCUUCAUCUCACAGCUAUUUUCACUUCAGAAACUACACUGUGAUAACUGACCCCAGUCUGCUUAAGGGAGAAACUUGCUUGUUUUUCUGGGGCCCUUUUUAUCUCUGCCCUGUGUGCUCUGUUUCCGUUUGUAUUGAUGGCCCCAGAACUGCUGAAGGAACUGUUUCUGUUAUUGGAACACUCUCUGGCUGUACAUCUGAUAGAUGGUGGUGGUUUGGUGUUAUGUUGGGCUGGAACUUAUCUCUGCUCACCCUAGGAGGCAGACUUCAUGAACAAGUGUGUGACACAAGGGUAUUAAAAUAAGGGAAGUUGUUCCCUUUGAAGCAAUGUGCAACAAUUGAGCUUUUGGUCAGUGAGUUGUCACUGUGGAUGUGGAGGGGUUUGAGGUGGGGGGUUUUCAGUGCCUCUUAGGAGAAAACUGCAAAUGUCCCUGAUCUAGCAGUUCUGAUUUGGAAUUUUUUUUUCCCCAGGAACAAUAGGGUCAAAAAACAGGUGGGAGAAGCACCGCAAUCCAUUCUGACGUACCAGUUUGUAAAUGUCCAUCUCUAUUUCUGCAUGCCCCCUGCCUCCCUGUUUCUUGGGCCCAGAAGCUGAUACUGACAGACUGUUACUCAGUCUGUUCUUUGACUGCUUCUCUCUCUCUGUACUCUCACUAGACCCAUGUACAGGACUGACUUGAUGGAUCCUGGCUGUAACACUGCCAUUGCAUCAUUGCUGCUGGGCAUGGGAAGAUCCGUUCCUUAUACACCCUAGGAUCAGGACAAGGAAGCACUGCAAUGGUUGUUUGCCUUUGCUUCCAGAGCUGCCCUUUGAGCACAGGGCAGCAAUCAGCUGUGGAAGUACAGGGCAGGGCAGCUCAGGGGUGCUGCAGGGGUCUGAGCACAGUUGGGCACAGGUCCUGGGGGGAAGCAGUUUAGCCCCACAUCCACACAGGGCUAGGAAAUGGCUUUAGGUCACUUAGAAAGUUAUUUUGUUGACCUAUUUAUAUAAAAGUUGCAAGCAGAUACUUUUCUAUUCAGCAAAUUACUUGGCCUUUUAAAUGUUAACCCUUUAGCAGAAAUCCCUGUUUCUCCGUGACUAAUAAGAAAUUACAUAUAUAGAUACUUUAACUCAAUCUGAUAAUCAGAGCAGUUUUUCAUUGGUUCUUGAGAUUAUCUUUAAAAUCAGGCACAGUAAGCUCUGUUUUAUUAUGCCACUGCUGCUACUGCCUGAUCAUCAAACCACACAGCUUAAACUAUCAAGGGACAGAAGCAGGGUGAAAAGUGGCAUUUCUUUUUUGCUGGAGCCUGAAGACCAGAAGUGUCUUUGUAUUUUUGUUCUGAUAGUUUGCUGAGCACAAAACACCGCUACUGCAAUAAUUCUGAUGGAUUGUGCUUGAAAGAAGGGCCAUCUUGAACAAGGUACUCCUCUCUGGCUGCAAGAGAUGAAUGUAAAGGAAUCCAGCCAAAAUAGUCCUCAGUGUUUGGGACUUUGCAGACAUGAACAUACAUUUAAAUGUAUGUGUAU
Molecule: RNA transcript, 12208 nt
Organism: Motacilla alba alba
Lineage: Eukaryota; Metazoa; Chordata; Aves; Passeriformes; Motacillidae
Gene: IL21R
Gene name: interleukin 21 receptor
Exons: 10
Source: RefSeq, a predicted model, not a curated record